RNAcentral lists this unclassified non-coding RNA (1898 nucleotides) under Hevea brasiliensis (rubber tree). Lineage: Eukaryota; Viridiplantae; Streptophyta; Magnoliopsida; Malpighiales; Euphorbiaceae. The record is from RNAcentral.
CCCUUUAUGUUCUUCUUCCAACAUGGCAUCUAACAACACAAUAUCCAUUUCAUUUGUCAAAACUACAUUGUCUCUAACAUAUGUUGAACUUCCUUGGUUUUGAAUUUUUUUCAAUCUUGGCAUUAUUUAUUUAUAAGGCAAUUACAUAACAUGUUCCUGUUGAAGAAAAGAUAAUAAACAUAGAAUAUAAAAUCUACUGUACACAUGUACAUACAAUAAAAAUACACAUUUAACCCAAGCAUUCGAAAAAAAAAAUAUAUGAAAGCAAUUGAUUAAUACUAGAGAUUAGAAAUACUAGUCACAUAUUAAUCCUAAUUAUGAUUACAAGUUAUGUUGAUAAUCAUGCCACAUUUGUGCUGUUAUUUGUUCCUUUAACAUAACCCCUAUUCUAUACUCUGCAUUUUUUGCCAAUCCACUAGUACUGACAUGGUGAUCAACCUCAACAUGCACAAGCUCACGAUCAACUUCAGCAAUUAAAUUUUCAUCUGGAUCUACACUCAUUAAGAAGUUGUGUAUUAUACAACAGGCCAAAACAAUUUCAAUCAUUAUUUUGAAUGAGUAAUGAGGUUCAGUGCCACUAGCUAUAAUUGGAAACCUUUUCUUUAAAAUACCAAAAACUCUCUCAAUGACAUUACGGAAUGAUGCAUGAUGAUGGUUAAAUAAUUCUUUGGCAUUUCGAGGUCCACAUCUGGAGUAUUUAUUCAAAUGAUAACGAACACCCCUAUAUGGUGCAAGUAAUCCACUCCUCAAUGGUAAUCCAGCAUCCACGAGAUAAAAUUUUCCUAACAAAGGGGGGAAAAUAUGAGGUAUUGUCUUAUAAUAUAUUUAAAUGUAGAAGUUGUUCACAUUCAAUUGCACAUACCUUGAGGAAUUACAAGUUUAUCUUCCCUAACCAGCCCAUUUUUUAGGAUUCUUGAGUCAGAGGCAGUUCCUUCCCAACCAGGCAACACAUAAGUGAAUUUCAAAUCCAAAGAACAUGCUACUAAUACAUUUUGUAUAGGCCAUUCUUUUCUCCCUCGAAAUCUAGGGGCAUGUUUUUUAGGCACUUUAACUUGAAUAUGUGUUCCAUCUAAUGCACCAACACCAUCCUGUAUAGACAAGUACAUGCACCUAUAACUAUAUAAGAGUCACACUAACUAAUAAUAAUACGUAAUAUAUAUUCAUUUGACCAAAAUUUUGCUUACCUUGAAGUACAGAUAGAAUCUAUUAUUAUUCAAAAUUUGAGGGGGAACUUCAGUUUCAUUUGGUAGGCUAAGAAACUCAGCUUCUAGUGCCACUACUGCUCUUAAGACAUUAUGGAAAUGACGACUUAUUGUCUCACCUGAGCGAUGGAAAUAAAAUCCCAAUGCGCGAUUUUUAAAGUUCUGGCCUAAAAUAUGCAAGAACUUAGCUAAUUGCUCUUCCACUGUAGAGUGUCUAAAGUCUUUAAGCAAGCCAGUAGCUCUGAUCUUUCCACAAAAUUCAGCAAAUGCAACUGGACCCAUGUGUACAAUAUCACAACAAAUGACUUCAUUUGCAGUGAGCUCACUCAUUAGCUUAUUUCGUAAUGCAUCUCUUUCCACUUUUAGACUACUUAAGGGUUUGGCAAUAACCAUUGCUUGGAUGUCCAAUAACCAUAAGAGAUUCACAACAUAACGCAAUAGCUGAACUAUGGCCUCUACUCGUUGUCGUUGCCAAGUGUCCAUUAUAUGUUUCAACAUAUUCUCAAACUCUAAACUAUCAUUUGUAUCGGCUAUUGACAUAUCAUAACAUGCAUCAUCCAUGUCAUCUUCUAAGAAAUUAUCUUCACUUUGUUCCUUAUCCAUCUACAAAGUAUAAUACUAAUAUACUAUUAUUAAAAAACAAAUAAAAAGAAAAUUAUUCAAAAAAUGGAAUAAAUAGAGAAAGUGAAAAUUUUG